Molecule: transfer RNA, 86 nt
Filed under: Phycisphaerae bacterium
Lineage: Bacteria; Pseudomonadati; Planctomycetota; Phycisphaerae
Description: tRNA-Leu
Rfam family: tRNA
About the family: Transfer RNA (tRNA) molecules are approximately 80 nucleotides in length. Their secondary structure includes four short double-helical elements and three loops (D, anti-codon, and T loops). Further hydrogen bonds mediate the characteristic L-shaped molecular structure. tRNAs have two regions of fundamental functional importance: the anti-codon, which is responsible for specific mRNA codon recognition, and the 3' end, to which the tRNAs corresponding amino acid is attached (by aminoacyl-tRNA synthetases). tRNAs cope with the degeneracy of the genetic code in two manners: having more than one tRNA (with a specific anti-codon) for a particular amino acid; and 'wobble' base-pairing, i.e. permitting non-standard base-pairing at the 3rd anti-codon position.
Source: RNAcentral
GCCGGUGUGGCGGAAUUGGCAGACGCGGUGGAUUCAAAAUCCACUUCCUGGCAACAGGAGUGCAGGUUCGAUUCCUGUCACCGGCA